AUUGCGUGCGGUCUAUGCCGCAUGAGGAAAGUCCAUGCUCACACAAACUGCGAUGUUUGUAGUGUUCGUGCCAGGUGAAAAAAUAAGCCUGGGUAGCCAGCAAUGGUUAACGGCCAACGAAACCGCCUAAGGGAAACUAUGGCUGAUUAGUUGUUAAGGUGCCACAGUGACGAGCUUUCAAAGAAAUGCGAAAGGUGGAACGCGGUAAACCCCACGAGUGGGCAACCCAAACGAUGGUAGGGGCGCUUGACCUAGCAAAUUGAAGUGAUGGUCGGGGGAGCAGCAAUGCUCGAGA
RNAcentral lists this RNase P RNA (295 nucleotides) under Weissella soli. RNAcentral's name for it is "Bacterial RNase P class B". It matches the Rfam family "Bacterial RNase P class B", at positions 16 to 308 of the family's 365-position model. Rfam says of the family: Ribonuclease P (RNase P) is a ubiquitous endoribonuclease, found in archaea, bacteria and eukarya as well as chloroplasts and mitochondria. Its best characterised activity is the generation of mature 5'-ends of tRNAs by cleaving the 5'-leader elements of precursor-tRNAs. Cellular RNase Ps are ribonucleoproteins. The record is from RNAcentral. Lineage: Bacteria; Bacillati; Bacillota; Bacilli; Lactobacillales; Lactobacillaceae.